GCCCGGUUAGCUCAAUCGGUAGAGCGUGAGACUCUUAAUCUCAAGGUUGCGGGUAAGUGCAUAUACCUCAAUACAGGAAAGCCAUAUCGAUUAACAUCAGCCCUUAGGUUCGACCCCCGCAUCGGGCU
Xylariaceae sp. FL1651 is the source of this 128-nucleotide non-coding RNA. The record is from the annotation of a GenBank genome assembly. Lineage: Eukaryota; Fungi; Ascomycota; Sordariomycetes; Xylariales; Xylariaceae.